ACUUCCAGAGGAGCCAGGAGCUCUCAUCUUCAAACCCUAAAUUGCUCAAAUUGAUCAAAUUGAAAGGCCAAAUCAGUCCCAAAUCAAAAUCCAAGUUCAUAUUAGUGAUCACCUAAGUGAAAGGAUCACAAGUUUGACACUUAACGAGCAAGAUGGAGGCUUGGGAAGAAACGGGUCAAACGAAUCAAGAAGGAAAAGAAAAGCGUAGCUCGGAUACGAGGUGAAUGUCAGGGGAUUCCCGGAUGAAGAUCUAGCCCAACGAAGAACCGAACACACGAGAUUAAAGCUUCCGCACGGCGUUACGUCGUAACUUUUAAACGACGAACUCAAUUACAUUAUGUUGUACUAUUUUUUUUAAAUUGUAAAAGUUUUAGUAAACUCGUAUUGUCAUACGUAUGUGUAAUCGUAUAAACAUGUAUUUAUACGAAACUUAUAUAAAAUAUUGUAUAAAACAA
Molecule: long non-coding RNA, 455 nt
Organism: Helianthus annuus (common sunflower)
Lineage: Eukaryota; Viridiplantae; Streptophyta; Magnoliopsida; Asterales; Asteraceae
Exons: 3
Source: RefSeq, a predicted model, not a curated record